This 1771-nucleotide ribosomal RNA is filed under the name Triticum aestivum (bread wheat). RNAcentral describes it as "partial small subunit ribosomal RNA". The record is from RNAcentral. Lineage: Eukaryota; Viridiplantae; Streptophyta; Magnoliopsida; Poales; Poaceae.
CUUCAGACACUGUAGCAUCUCCCUCGUCCCGUCAGCUCCCACGCCAUUGUUGUUUGUUCCGGGAGGAUGAUUCACCAGGACGACGGACGGACCAAGACGACCUGACCAGCCAGCCAUAUGGCAGUGUAAGUGUGUCCUCUGAUGUUAUCGAAGAGAAUGUAAUAAUACAGGAUUGAUCUGAUCAUAAGUUCAAAACAAGUCGGGUGCUUAAUUAUGUCCAAGCGAAGAGGGUUCUGUUCUGCCUGUGCUGGUACAUGCUUGACCAAAACGUCUGAAGACAGAACGAGCUGACAGUCACCCACACCCACUCCCACUCUCAUUUUUGGAUGUUCUUUUGAAAUGCACUCUCAUGCUUUUAACAGAACGGAAGGGCAAAAGAUGAGACUUGAAUAUGGUUCCCCGGAAGUUAAUGAUAAGGAUAUUAGGGCCGGUUAGGAUGUUAAUUAGUGACUCUUGUACAUGAACAUAACGGUAGUAGUAAACGGCGAAAUAUUUCCUACGGAUAUUCGGUAUGUAACCCUAGAAGUGGACCAUUUGAUGACAUCCGACGUGAGGGGAUGAGCGGUGGGAGGAGUUGGAAAGCAACAAUAGCGAGAUGAAGAAGAGUAAGAAGUUCUGGCCUCUCUUCUUCUCUGUCACAUCUACUUCACCAACUAUAGUAAGCGAGGAGCCACAUCCUGAAGUUGCGAUGCCGGGAGCAAAAUAGCCGGCAUACAUGAACACGCAAGCUUGCAACUCGCCUCUUUCCAGGGACCAAGAGGAUGCGUUGCCGCCACUGCUGCCGGGAAGCAGGAACCAAGAAGAUCCACUGUCGCCACGAAUUACGGAAUGAGAAGUCUCCACCGCAAAUUAGUGCCACCUCCGCAGAUGCCACGUUCGAGCGUAACACUUCCCUCACAACCGCAACGACAUGUCCACCACCAAGAUAUGUUGGGGCCGCCGCCUUUGUGUCCAACCUCCAUCGAUGUGCUUUUUGUCCAGGUCCACCUCAACGCUCUAGCUGCUAAGACUCCUACAACGCAGAAGGGAAAGAGACGGCGAUAGGGGCUAGGGUUUUGACUCGACCACCGCUGGGAGAGACUCGGGUUUACAUCUGCUCUAUAUGAGAAAAUUUGUAAUUCUAAAUUUACAUCUGUCUUAUUCGAUGUAAUGGGUUGCAUUUGUCCAUGGAUCAUUCUAGUUGCCACAUGUGUCUUUCAAUAUAAGCAUGGUAACUCUAUAAAAAAUCUUAUAAAUUGUUUGUGAAGUAUAUAAUAGAUAACUUUAUCUUAUAUACUAUUUGAUCUCCUCUGUUUACUUUAUAAUACAAUCCUAUGUUUCAUCAUUCUAUAGAAUGUUGGACCAUGGUAUUAUGCUCUAGUGACAGGCGGUUUCAUCUGAAAUGACAUUGCACACAUAAUAUAAACUAUCAUGUCAUUUUACAUCAUUCAAAGCAAAAUUGAUCAUCAUCUGGGUUGGGUUGCUAAAAUAUGUGCAUUUGCUAAAGUUUAGGUGACCAUGAUCUCCGCAAAUCAUAAUUGACUGCUCAACUAUGUGAUUUCUUUGUGUUUCAUAGAAAGCUCUCAUCGGAGAUGGGAGAGGGCGGUUUAGAGGGUUGGCCUUAUCUAGUGGCAGCAUUGUCAAACUUGACGACCAUGACAACCCUCGGGAACAAAGGAAGAGAGUGUGGUAGCUGGGCAUUAAAGGAGACAUGGAUUCUAUUGUGUUUCCAGUGAAAAUUAGGCAAUUGUCAUAUAGGAGGUAGUCAUAGAAAUACUGAAAUACAUAGCAG